CCUACGGGUGGCAGCAGUGAGGAAUAUUGGUCAAUGGACGAGAGUCUGAACCAGCCAAGUAGCGUGAAGGAUGACUGCCCUAUGGGUUGUAAACUUCUUUUAUAAAGGAAUAAAACGAGGCACGUGUGCCUUUUUGCGUGUACUUUAUGAAUAAGGAUCGGCUAACUCCGUGCCAGCAGCCGCGGUAAUACGGAGGAUCCGAGCGUUAUCCGGAUUUAUUGGGUUUAAAGGGAGCGUAGACGGGUUGUUAAGUCAGUUGGGAAAGUUUGCGGCUCAACCGUAAAAUUGCAGUGGAUACUGGCAGUCUUGAGUACAGGUGAGGUAGGCGGAAUUCGUGGUGUAGCGGUGAAAUGCUUAGAUAUCACGAAGAACCCCGAUUGCGAAGGCAGCUUACUAAAGUGUGACUGACAUUGAUGCUCGAAAGUGUGGGUAUCAAACAGGAUUAGAUACCCGAGUAGUC
RNAcentral lists this ribosomal RNA (460 nucleotides) under uncultured bacterium. RNAcentral's name for it is "partial 16S ribosomal RNA". It matches the Rfam family "Bacterial small subunit ribosomal RNA", at positions 338 to 795 of the family's 1533-position model. The record is from RNAcentral.